RNAcentral lists this ribosomal RNA (497 nucleotides) under uncultured bacterium. RNAcentral describes it as "partial 16S ribosomal RNA". It matches the Rfam family "Bacterial small subunit ribosomal RNA", at positions 28 to 507 of the family's 1533-position model. The record is from RNAcentral.
GACGAACGCUGGCGGCGUGCCUAAUACAUGCAAGUUGAGCGAUGAAGCUUGGUGCUUGCACCUAUUUGGAUAGCAGCGGACGGGUGAGUAACGCGUGGGUAAUCUGCCUUUAAGCGGGGGACAACAUUUGGAAACGAAUGCUAAUACCGCAUAACAUCUUUAAACAUAAGGUUUAAUUUUGAAAGAUGCAAUUGCAUCACUCAAAGAUGAUCCCGCGUUGUAUUAGCUAGUUGGUGAGGUAAAGGCUCACCAAGGCGAUGAUACAUAGCCGACCUGAGAGGGUGAUCGGCCACAUUGGGACUGAGAAAAGGCCCAAACUCCUACGGGAGGCAGCAGUAGGGAAACUUCGGCAAUGGAGGAAAGGCUGACCGAGCCACGCCGCGUGAGUGAAGAAGGUUUUCGGAUCGUAAAACUCUGUUGGUAGAGAAGAAAGUUGGUGAGAGUGGAAAGCUCAUCAAGUGACGGUAACUAACCAGAAAGGGACGGCUAACUACGUG